GUUAAUGUGUAUUAGAUGGAUAAUUGAUGAAUCACAGCUACCUGGAUAGAAGCAUUUCCAGAAAUAUUUGUAAAAGAACAAAGGAACAUUUUUGGAAACUGGUGAAAAGUCAAUGUUAGUUGGAUCCCUUUUCUCCUAUGAAAUUUAUUCCAUUCCAGUCAUUCUUUGAGGGAGGAAGGAAGUCAAAAGCAGAAAUACCUGUUCUAAAUGUUUAGUAGCUUUGGCAGGCUUUUGACCUGAGCAGUCAAUUCUCCUAACAUCAUAUAGGCCUAGACUAGAGGCAAGAUGUGUGCAGUGAAGUAACAUUUAUAGGUCUUGACCUCCAGAAGCUUCAGAAGCACUUGACAGAGUUGAGCAGCUAAGGAAAGAAUUUGGGAAUGUGUUUACUCGGUUAUGUUUCCUGACCAGUCCUCAUACCAAUGAGUUUUCCAUAAGUGGAAUUUUCUGCAGAAGGCCGGUGAGGAGCUAAGAAACACUCUCCACCAUUGAGACUGCUCUCAUAGUUUGUAAAUUACCCCAUUGCCUCUGCACUUCUGAGUUCUGCUGGUUGGGAUUUUCAGAACUGGUUUAGGGUUGACCUGGCCAGCAGUCAAGAACCCACACAGCUGCUCACUCACUCCCCUGUGGGAUGGGGGAGAGAAUAGGAAGAGCAAAGUAAGAAAACUCAUGUGUCAAGAUUAAGAAAUUUUAAUAAGCCAAGAAAAGAGCAAAAAAAACCUGAGUGAUGCCAAGGCCUCCCACUAGCAGACCAGUGCCCAGCCAGUCCCUCAGCAUUGGCCAACUUGGAAACACAACCUCUGCUUCUAUCUCUACUGCCAGUUUUUACUGCUGAGCAUGAUGCUAGGUGGUGUGGGAUGUCCCCUGGCCAGAGCUGUCCUGGCUACCCAGUACACUGUGCUCCCUCUCAACCUCUCACCCACCCUUGGUCUGCUUGCUGUGUGAGGCAGAGAAAGUCUGGACACAGUGCAAGAGCUGUUCAGCAGUA
Long non-coding RNA from Oxyura jamaicensis (ruddy duck), 985 nucleotides. RefSeq lists it as uncharacterized. The record is from RefSeq and is a predicted model, not a curated record. NCBI's taxonomy places the organism in Eukaryota, Metazoa, Chordata, Aves, Anseriformes, Anatidae. The transcript has 3 exons.